This 253-nucleotide ribosomal RNA is filed under the name uncultured bacterium. Its description in RNAcentral is "partial 16S ribosomal RNA". It matches the Rfam family "Bacterial small subunit ribosomal RNA", at positions 524 to 776 of the family's 1533-position model. The record is from RNAcentral.
UACGUAGGGGGCAAGCGUUGUCCGGAAUUAUUGGGCGUAAAGAGCGUGUAGGCGGUCCGGUAAGUCAGCUGUGAAAGUCAAGGGCUCAACCCUUGAAUGCCGGUUGAUACUGUCGGGCUAGAGUCCGGAAGAGGCGAGUGGAAUUCCCGGUGUAGCGGUGAAAUGCGCAGAUAUCAGGAGGAACACCGGUGGCGAAGGCGGCAUCCUGGACCAUGACUGACGCUGAGGAGCGAAAGCCAGGGGAGCAAACGGG